RNA transcript from Elaeis guineensis (African oil palm), 2911 nucleotides. RefSeq lists it as uncharacterized. The record is from RefSeq and is a predicted model, not a curated record. NCBI's taxonomy places the organism in Eukaryota, Viridiplantae, Streptophyta, Magnoliopsida, Arecales, Arecaceae.
UUUCUUUUUUUUUUUUUUUUUUAAAUAAGGUUCCGGCAGUGGCCUAUGCGCGCGCCCCAUGUAAGACCCGGUGUUAUAUGUAUAUGGCCCAUUCCCCCUAUUCCUCUCACCCUCCCUCUCUCUCCGACUCUCCCCCUCUCCCUCCGUCGAGGAAUUAUUGCGACUUCUCCUUCUUGAACGUUUUCUAGGUUUUUUGCUUCUAGACUGGUUUCGCGCAGGAGAAGAAGAGAUCGAGAGAGCCGGAAACUUGCGUCGAUCUGAUCGGAUGGAGUGCUGACGAACGAGGAAGCGGCUUCGGCUCGCCUGGGACGUCGUGCCUCCGGAACAACGAGAGAUCCACCCGUAUCUAGAUGCUAGGGUUAGGGUUUGGGACUGCGCGAAUAGAGGCUGCUGUCUGGGAUGAGGCAGUGCCGGGUCCGACGGAUGCAGCAUCGCCAUCGUGGAAGGAUGAGGAUCGGGAGGGGCACUAUAUCUCGGUCUUGGGGAGAACCUCACUUCGCGAUGUGUAUGGAGUAGUCAUCAGUUUCAAAUGAAUGCAUGGGAUGGUACAGAAGAAUUCACAAGAUGAGAUGUACUUCAGGUGCAUGCCAAAGUCAAGUGCCAUUAAGCUGGUUGAUUUUGGUAGUACUGUUUUUGAGAAUCGGGACCAGAGCUCCAUUGUUUUAACAAGGCAUAACAGGACACCUGAAAUCAUUUUGAGAUAAAUUAGAUUUUUAUGAUAGAAGUGUUGGUUUUACAAUGUCUUGUCUGGAUGCAGGACAUCCUAAGCGAAGUUAUUGGUUUUCAGUUGUGAUUUUAAAGAAACAACCUUUUCAUGUUUAUAAGGCUGCAAUGAUCAGAGACUUCCAGAGGCUAAGUUUCAAUAAUUCCAAUGCACACAACUGGAAAUUCCAAAUAUUUUAGUUAUUCUUUAGAAUUUUGAGCCACAUGCUCUGUGUGCACAUAAUCAGUUUCCAGUUAGGUCUGUGCAUAGCAAGAAAAAGAUAAAUAUUUUGCUGCAGGGGUCUCCUUGUUCCUUUAGACAAAUUUAGCAUUCUCAGGUUUCUUGUUUCUCCUUUUCAAUGCUCAAGUAAACAGUCUUACAUGGUAAUAAUUCAGUUUCUUUGAUCUUGACGGUUUGUUGCAAUGCCCUGUGGCUGUUGCUAAUUUAUGCUUUACAUUUUCCUCUCACAUGGUAGAACUGUAUUGCCUAACCUACUAUCAUCUUUAGUGAUUGAAUUGUUUAAGCAGAAUUUAUAUAUGCAUGCACCUGAGUUUCUUCAUGCAUCUCUGUCAAUGUAGUAGGUAUUGUUAAGAAGGUUUAUGCUAUAUGUAGCUUCGCAGGUAAUAGUAGUGUUACCUACACACUUGGCAUGGUAUGGGUGCUGACUGUCUAGUUCCAUGCCAAAGUAUUCAUGUGUGCCAUGGUGCCAGGCACUUAAAAUGCUAACACAAGAAACCUAACAUGGAGUUCCUUCAUGCAAUAGAAAUAAUUAUAAAUGUAAAUUUAUUUAUCCUUCUCAUUUACUAGAUUGUUACACUGCCAUAUGUCUUAAAAAAGCUUACAUCUAUUGCGUAUUACACUGAAAAAAUCAAUAGAAAGGUAUGAAAAUUCUGUUCAGUUGUGUAGGCACUUAAGAUAAUAAUGUCCAUCACUUGAAUUGAUUGAGAAUAGAAGUGUUCUUACUUGUGCAAUUUGCAUAUUUUAAGAAGGCAAUUAUAAUCUGUUCAAUUAUUCUGAUGUUUCAGAUUAAUAAAACUAGUUAUUUUAAUGAUUCUAAGGGGUGCUAUUCCAUGUUCUGUUGGGUCUUAGCAAGUGCUACUAUGCAAACCCUAAAACUGAAGCAUCCGAGGGACAUUGUAUAAGUGAUCUUGUUGGAACUUCUAUGAGACUGAUAGGUUGUGAGUUAUAUGUUUUCCUAUAUAAUACAUUUCCUUAGGUGGCAUAUGUAUGAUAUUAGCAAUUUAUAUUGUUGAAUUCAUGUUGAUGUGUGAACAUUGUUUCAAUUAUAAGAAUUUCAAGUGCCAAAGUGCUUGUCCUCAUAGUCCUGUCGCUGAACCAUACUUGUAUCAGGUUUGGGUUGGAAUUAUCCUUGUGACAUUUGGAGUGUUGGUUGCAUCCCUGUUGAGCUUUGUUCAGUCAGUCUGCCAACUUGUCACAGAUUUAAUACUACAGAGGAUAAAUGCAUUACCUCAUGUCCCAAUGGAUAUAUCAUGCAUCUUUUAAGUUUUAAACAUGUUUCAGGGUAAAGCAUUGUGUGAGACAUGCAAAUUUGGACCAUUUAGCCAUGAUGGAGAAGAUUGGGGACCAUUGCCAGAGCAUAUGAUGCGACAAGCUAGAUUACUCGGUCUUAUAUGCAAUGCAGCUGUUGAAAAUUAUUUGGGUUCUGAUGAGCUGUCCUUUUCACUGCCGUCUCUGGAGGACUUGUUUUCCCAACAUGGAAGUACUCAAGGGCUUCAUUAAUCGAUUUAGUGUAUGAUCUUAUGAAGUUUGAACCGUUUGACCGACUUGCAGUGCAGGAAGCACUCAACCAUUCAUUCUUCAGAAAACCCAACGUGAGAUGCAGUUGAAGGUGCAAAUAGCAAACUUGGGAUAUAAUUUAUUUAUUAGAGUUUUGAUGCCCAUGGAGGAAAGACAACUGGAAACCUGGAUGGAGUUUCCAGCUGCCUAAUUAUAAGCUCUCUGAUGAUUUUGUUCCUGGAUCUAAAUAUGAGAUAGGUGAUGGUUUAAAUUAAUGUCUAUCAGAUAUUAAUGUAUCUAUCAGGUAUUUAGUAAUUGUGUAUUUCAUAUUUUAUAUUUUGGUACUCUGUUUUGUAUUUAGAUUCAGGGCAAAAUUUCUGCAAACCCUUAAACGUGUAACAUUUUACAAAAAAAUAAAGCCCGAACUAUUCUUUCAAAGUUAGAAAUGAAGUAAACUUUCUUGUUGUUCUA